RNAcentral lists this ribosomal RNA (253 nucleotides) under uncultured bacterium. Its description in RNAcentral is "partial 16S ribosomal RNA". It matches the Rfam family "Bacterial small subunit ribosomal RNA", at positions 524 to 776 of the family's 1533-position model. The record is from RNAcentral.
UACGGAGGGGGCGAGCGUUAUUCGGAAUUAUUGGGCGUAAAGGGCGCGUAGGCGGCUUGGUAAGUCAAAGGUGAAAUCCCUCGGCUCAACUGAGGAAUGGCCUUUGAAACUGCCUGGCUCGAGGCCGGGAGGGGGUAGCGGAAUUCCCAGUGUAGCGGUGAAAUGCGUAGAUAUUGGGAGGAACACCGGUGGCGAGGGCGGCUUCCUGGACCGAUACUGACGCUGAGGCGCGAAAGCUAGGGGAGCAAACGGG